ACACUUCAAUGUUGAAAAACAAAUGGAAACAGUCCAAUUCAUUCCUUCCUCUCUCUCCUUAAUUUAAAGUUCCAGCUAAACAUUGACCUUUCUCACACAUGAAAAGAAAAAGUUAACAGUGAGGGAAAUCCCUCAGGUGUGAUGAUUUUGGCCAAGUGAACCUGUCCCAAUAGCUUCAGGGUCAUCCUGCUAGAGUUAUAAAGAACCAUCCUGCUCCCUGGGAACACAGUCUUCUUGGGCAUAAAAUUUCUCCAGCAUGCGUGUGCUUCAGCUUCUCUUCAAGACCAGCCCUGCUGCCCUUCUCCUGGGCCUCUGCCUAACACUGUGGACUGUCCCAACUCAAGGACAAAUACAGAAUGUAAUUUCAGCGAACCUGACAACUUCUCAAAUUGACAACUCAACGGGCUAUGUGAUAACACUUGCAGUUUCAAAUCUCAUAUCUCAAUGCAUAGUGGUUUAUCAGGAGUCAGGUAAGGUGGUCUGGUAUUAGGGAUAGAGUAUCAGUUUCAGUUCAGUUCAGUUCAGUUGCUCAGUCGUGUCCAACUUUUUGCAACCCCCCCAUGGACUGCAGCACACCAGGCCUCCCCGUCCAUCACCAACUCCUGGAGCUUACUCAAACUCAUGUCCAUCGAGUCGGUGAUGCCAUCCAACCAUCUCAUCCUCUGUCGUCCCCUUCUCCUCCCACCUUCAAUCUUUCCCAGCAUCAGGGCCUUUUCCAAUGAGUCAGUUCUUCGCAUCAGGUGGCCAGAGGAUUGGAGU
Molecule: long non-coding RNA, 759 nt
Filed under: Cervus hanglu yarkandensis (Yarkand deer)
Lineage: Eukaryota; Metazoa; Chordata; Mammalia; Artiodactyla; Cervidae
Description: lncRNA (ENSCHYG00000009468.1)
Source: RNAcentral